GUGCUCGCCUCGGCGGCAUGGGUACUAACACUGGAACGACACAGAGAGAAUGAGCAGGCCCCGUCACAGGAUGAGACGCAAAGUCGUGAAGCGUUCCGUGGUUUU
Small nuclear RNA from Artibeus jamaicensis (Jamaican fruit-eating bat), 105 nucleotides. The record is from RefSeq and is a predicted model, not a curated record. NCBI's taxonomy places the organism in Eukaryota, Metazoa, Chordata, Mammalia, Chiroptera, Phyllostomidae.